GGUAAUGGAGCAGAGACUGGAGCAGAGACAAGUUGUUCCCACUGAGCUCUCCUCAGAUUACAGAUUGGGAGUGGCAAAUCAAAGGCAUUGCAGCCUCUUUCAUCACUGCCGAUUGCUGAUGCCAACCAUGUGCCAAGUGCUUAAUACGUCACCUUAAAUCUUCUCAUCCACCCUCAGAGGGGGUGGGGCCAAGAUGGCUGACUAGAAGCAGCUGCGAUCAGAGGCUCCCAUCAAAAAGAACCGUAAUCAGCAUGUGAAUCCUGCACCGGCAACCCAGUAGCUGCAGCAUCAACCCAGUGCCCUGACUUUCAAGACGACUAUGAAAACACCCCAACUGCUGCUAAAUUACCAGCAACAAGGAUCUGACAUUCUUAUUCAAAAGAAAGAACACCGAAAUUGACCUUACCCUGACAAUAUGAUGGCUGAAGGAUUUAUGAUCACUUAUAACAUUUGAAAUUGAGGCGGAACCUGAAGAAUAAGACUCUGGUGAAAGGUCCUAUUUAUGCUUUUGAUGUCUUUCACUUGGACAUUUACCACAUGCCUAUUGGUAGGUUUGUUACAUAGGUCAGUUAAGGUGAUACAAGAAUAAAUAAAACACUAUCCCUAUCCUUUAAUAUCAUUUAUUUAUGGGGUCAAUCACAGAUUUUCAUUUUUCAAAAUCUUUGAUAAAUGUCAGAAUUAUGUUUUUUAAUAUUUUUACAGAAUUAUUACAAUAUAUGGUAGAGGAUGGAAGGCAAGGUAGUAUGAAACGGAAAAGAUAUUUUGAAUUAAGGUAUUUGGACCUGGAUUAAUAUUUUUGCUUUGGUCUUUAUUAGCUGAGUGACCUUGAGAAAGUUCUUCUACUAAAAAAGAACAAAGAUAAUAAUUACUUCAUGAAAUUGCUGUAAAAAACACAUAACAAGUAUAUCCAGACUCAACAGUGUAUGCUCAAAAAUGCAGAUCCUUUUUCCCUUACCUGCAAAUAAAGUCUUACAGUAAUACAGUGGGGGUAAAGGUUUAAACUGGUGGAUUCAAGAAGGGCUAUAGAAAGAGGUAGCAUCUUAAUAGGGGAAGGAGAGGAUCCAAGAAAUCAGAUCCAUUUUCUACAAAAAGAAAUGGGAAGACAGAUAAUUCAAGAAGAAAA
RNAcentral lists this long non-coding RNA (1123 nucleotides) under Homo sapiens (human). RNAcentral's name for it is "long intergenic non-protein coding RNA 1505". Lineage: Eukaryota; Metazoa; Chordata; Mammalia; Primates; Hominidae. The record is from RNAcentral.